Non-coding RNA from Dipodomys ordii (Ord's kangaroo rat), 69 nucleotides. Lineage: Eukaryota; Metazoa; Chordata; Mammalia; Rodentia; Heteromyidae. The record is from Rfam.
GGUAAUGUAGCUCAGUAGGAGAGCACCUGCCUAGCAUGCCUGUAGUUCUGGGUUCAAUUUCCAGCACCA